AGCUCCACUAGCGUAUAUUAAAGUUGUUGCAGUUAAAAAGCUCGUAGUUGAACUUCUGGUUGUUGCUUGAGUCGGGUAUUUAUAUCGCUUUAGUGAUAAUCAUCCGUCUUGCCAAACUUUUACAUCCUUCAUUGUGUUGUUUAAAGGGGAGCAGACAUUUUACUUUGAAAAAAUUAUGGUGUUUAAGGCAGGCGCAAGCC
This 200-nucleotide ribosomal RNA is filed under the name uncultured eukaryote. RNAcentral's name for it is "partial 18S ribosomal RNA". It matches the Rfam family "Eukaryotic small subunit ribosomal RNA", at positions 587 to 792 of the family's 1831-position model. The record is from RNAcentral.